AUGACAUUUAGGGGGAGAAAAUAGUUCAAGAAUGCUGUUGUGAAAUAUGGUCUAGUAGUGAGGAGACAAAUUACCUUCAUAAAGGAUGAGGCUAAUAGGAUUAGAGCAAAAUGCUCUUGGCCUGAGUGUCCAUGGUUGAUAUAUGCU
This 147-nucleotide ribosomal RNA is filed under the name Triticum aestivum (bread wheat). Its description in RNAcentral is "partial small subunit ribosomal RNA". Lineage: Eukaryota; Viridiplantae; Streptophyta; Magnoliopsida; Poales; Poaceae. The record is from RNAcentral.